GAUGAACGCUGGCGGCGUGCCUAAUACAUGCAAGUCGAGCGAACGGACGAGAAGUUUGCUCUUCUGAUGUUAGCGGCGGACGGGUGAGUAACACGUGGAUAACCUACCUAUAAGACUGGGAUAACUUCGGGAAACCGGAGCUAAUACCGGAUAAUAUUUUGAACCGCAUGGUUCAAAAGUGAAAGACGGUCUUGCUGUCACUUAUAGAUGGAUCCGCGCUGCAUUAGCUAGUUGGUAAGGUAACGGCUUACCAAGGCAACGAUGCAUAGCCGACCUGAGAGGGUGAUCGGCCACCCUGGAACUGAGACACGGUCCAGACUCCUACGGGAGGCAGCAGUAGGGAAUCUUCCGCGAUGGGGGAAAGCCUGACGGAGCAACGCCGCGUGAGUGAUGAAGGUCUUCGGAUCGUAAAACUCUGUUAUUAGGGAAGAACAUAUGUGUAAGUAACUGUGCACAUCUUGACGGUACCUACACAGAAAGCCACGGCUAACUACGUG
Molecule: ribosomal RNA, 497 nt
Filed under: uncultured bacterium
Lineage: Bacteria
Description: partial 16S ribosomal RNA
Rfam family: Bacterial small subunit ribosomal RNA
Source: RNAcentral